This 2139-nucleotide long non-coding RNA is filed under the name Homo sapiens (human). RNAcentral describes it as "long non-coding RNA NONHSAT221423.1". Lineage: Eukaryota; Metazoa; Chordata; Mammalia; Primates; Hominidae. The record is from RNAcentral.
UGGAGUGCAGACCCAUCACCCCUCACUGGGGCCCCCCAUGAGGCCUGCCUGACUGCAUGCCCCACCCGGGCCCAUGGCAGCGCACCUGGAAGCGGACGGCUGAGGACUUGUUGCAGUGCAUGGAGAUGGGCGCGAAGCUGUACAGGGCCUUCAGUACGUCGCGGUUGAAGGAGUUCCAGGGAACAGAGGAUCCCGAAGCCCCCCUGCAAGUUGGAGGAGACCCGUCAGCCCCGGGCCAUGCCACGCAGACGCUGCCAUCCAGCAGCUUUCGCCGCACCCACGUGUACACUGCGUCCACUCGUCUGUUCACUGCACCGUGCCAGGCAUGCUCUGGGGAACCGAGUCCCUGCCCUCAAGGAAUUGCCACCAUUGGCAGGAGAGACAGGCAGUGAGUGAGUGAGUCAACCAGGAAAUUCGUAUCAGGUACUGAUGAUGCUGUGAGGAAAAAUGAAACGGGACAAGCGGAUGGGGUGUUAUUGUGCCCAUUUUAUGGGUACAGAAACUGAGUCUCAGAGCAGGCAAGGGGAUGCCCCGUGGUGGCCACAGCAUCGGUGGCACAGCCUGAGUGCACCCAGCGUCCCGGCCAUUGUCUGGAAGCUGUCCCCAUGACCUCCAGCGAGAGCCUGGAGCCAAGGACUGCAAGGGAGGCCCUUUCCACUGCAGCCCCGCACCGUCCACCAGUCAUUUCUCCAACGUGGCUCUGAGGGGAGCAGGGACUCUAUAAGACAGGACCGUGACUAGAGGCCGCGACAACCUCCAGCCUCUCACGGCAACCCUACGGCCUGCCAUCGCAUGGGAGGGGCAGGGCAGGCACCCUCUGAGUCCCCACUGCCAGCUUUAAGCCCCUCGCUGGGUUGCUGCUCUUGGAGCUGGUGACCGUGGAGCCUCAGCCAUAGGAGGAAGAACAGCAGCAGCUUGGAGGAGCUGGGGCUGGAGAGAGCAAAGCUCCCCCGGCAGCAGCUCAGAUCCCAGCAGGUCAGGGGCCGGGACAUGACGCCCUGGCCACCCUUGCCCCUCCAGGCUCCCCGCUGUUUGUGAAGCUGCUGUGGGCCUGGGGAUUUCAUCUGGCUGGUGGGGAAGAAAGGCAAUCUUUACUCUAUGGCAGAACAAAGGGACUGGGCAAAGCUUGGCGUGGCACUUACACCAGCUGCCGCCCCCUCCUCCCGUGCAGACAAAGAGCAUGGGACAGUUCUGCCCAGAGACGAAACCUGGCACCUGUUGGCCAGGACGCGUUUUUGCCAGCAUUGUUCUCUGGGCCGGAUUCCUCCUUUCCCAGCUUUUCUCAUCCAUCCCGCCCCCGUCAGAUCGGGACGAUUGCCCUCCUGUGUGAGUUCCUGUCCCUCCCCACCCUCUGCCACCACAGACAUCAAAAGGGAACUGAGUCCGACCCUGUGUAGAAUCUGUUCUCCUCUUUCACCUGGGGAAGGAAAUCGAAUUUCAAAGGCCACUGUGUCUUGGAUCAGCAGGCGAGGGCUUGUCAGAGUGUGAGAAGCUCAGGUCCACCUGGGGAGCUGCCCUCCCCUUUGAUCCCACCUGGUGCUGUGAUGUGGCCACUGCCAAGAGGACGACAUGGGCCAGGGAAGCCACAGAACUGCCCACGGGGACGCUGGCACCGAGGGCCUCAACCUGCAGAACGGCCAUCUGAGAUGUCCGCGGUGCUCACCAGGCCUGGCAGCCCCGAACGCCCUGGGACGUGGCGUCAGUUCCGCCGCCGUGAAGCCAGAUUGGGCAGGGAAUAUGCAGUCUCCUCGCUGGAUGCCCGGCAAGACCCUCCCAUCCCUGGCCCCGGGGCCGCGCCUGCAGAAUGGGGCUGAUGGUGGGGACUUGCCUGGGGUGCUCCACCUGCAGAGCCCUCUGUUUGCGAGCCCACUCAGUCACUGCACAGGUGCUUAGCCGAGAGGCGGCACAGUCGGGGUUGGCACCUGCACCCAUACCAGCCCUGCCUCCUGUUCGCUGUGUGGCCUGAGUGGCUGGACCUCACUGUAUCUCCUGGUGGGAUUGCUCAGAGGUCUCAGCAAGGCUUGGUGUGGUUAGGAUGAGUUAUUAGAGCAGUGCUGAGCUGUGGCAAGCACCCGACAUCAGCCACUGCUGUGAUAUACUGAGCACCUCCUCUAGAGAGAAUAAAGGACUGACAAAGCU